RNAcentral lists this ribosomal RNA (1370 nucleotides) under Listeria monocytogenes. Its description in RNAcentral is "partial 23S ribosomal RNA". It matches the Rfam family "Bacterial large subunit ribosomal RNA", at positions 415 to 1783 of the family's 2925-position model. The record is from RNAcentral. Lineage: Bacteria; Bacillati; Bacillota; Bacilli; Caryophanales; Listeriaceae.
CGGCGGAACACGUGAAAUUCCGUCGGAAUCCGGGAGGACCAUCUCCCAAGGCUAAAUACUCCCUAGUGACCGAUAGUGAACCAGUACCGUGAGGGAAAGGUGAAAAGCACCCCGGAAGGGGAGUGAAACAGUUCCUGAAACCGUGUGCCUACAAGUAGUUAGAGCCCGUUAAUGGGUGAUAGCGUGCCUUUUGUAGAAUGAACCGGCGAGUUACGAUUUGUUGCAAGGUUAAGCGGAAAAAGCGGAGCCGUAGCGAAAGCGAGUCUGAAUAGGGCGCAUAAGUAACAGGUCGUAGACCCGAAACCAGGUGAUCUACCCAUGUCCAGGAUGAAGGUAAGGUAAUACUUACUGGAGGUCCGAACCCACGCACGUUGAAAAGUGCGGGGAUGAGGUGUGGGUAGCGGAGAAAUUCCAAUCGAACUUGGAGAUAGCUGGUUCUCUCCGAAAUAGCUUUAGGGCUAGCCUCGAGGUAAAGAGUCAUGGAGGUAGAGCACUGUUUGGACUAGGGGCCCUUCUCGGGUUACCGAAUUCAGAUAAACUCCGAAUGCCAUGUACUUAUACUCGGGAGUCAGACUGCGAGUGAUAAGAUCCGUAGUCGAAAGGGAAACAGCCCAGACCACCAGUUAAGGUCCCCAAAUAUAUGUUAAGUGGAAAAGGAUGUGGGGUUGCUUAGACAACCAGGAUGUUGGCUUAGAAGCAGCCACCAUUGAAAGAGUGCGUAAUAGCUCACUGGUCGAGUGACCCCGCGCCGAAAAUGUACCGGGGCUAAACAUAUUACCGAAACUGUGGAUGAACCUCUUUAGAGGUUCGUGGUAGGAGAGCGUUCUAAGGGCGGUGAAGUCAGACCGGAAGGACUGGUGGAGCGCUUAGAAGUGAGAAUGCCGGUAUGAGUAGCGAAAGAAGGGUGAGAAUCCCUUCCACCGAAUAUCUAAGGUUUCCUGAGGAAGGCUCGUCCGCUCAGGGUUAGUCGGGACCUAAGCCGAGGCCGAUAGGCGUAGGCGAUGGACAACAGGUAGAGAUUCCUGUACCAGUGCUAAUUGUUUAACCGAUGGGGUGACACAGAAGGAUAGGGAAUCGCACGAAUGGAAAUGUGCGUCCAAGCAGUGAGUGUGAGAAGUAGGCAAAUCCGCUUCUCGCGAAGCAUGAGCUGUGAUGGGGAAGGAAAUUAAGUACGGAAGUUCCUGAUUUCACGCUGUCAAGAAAAGCCUCUAGGAAGAGUAGUACUGCCCGUACCGCAAACCGACACAGGUAGAUGAGGAGAGAAUCCUAAGGUGAGCGAGAGAACUCUCGUUAAGGAACUCGGCAAAAUGACCCCGUAACUUCGGGAGAAGGGGUGCUCUAUUAGGGUGCAAGCCCGAGAGAGCCGCAGU